AGGGAAUAUUGCGCAAUGGACGGAAGUCUGACGCAGCGACGCCGCGUGAGCGAUGAAGGUCUUCGGAUCGUAAAGCUCUGUCCUUGGGGAAGAAGGCGAAAGCUUGACGGUACCCAAGAAGAAAGCCCCGGCUAACUACGUGCCAGCAGCCGCGGUAAUACGUAGGGGGGGAGCGUUGUCCGGAAUUACUGGGCGUAAAGGGUGCGUAGGCGGCCCUUUAAGUCGGAUGUGAAAGCCCGCGGCUUAACCGCGGAAUGGCAUUCGAAACUGGAGGGCUUGAGUGUCGGAGAGGUUAGCGGAAUUCCAUGUGUAGCGGUAAAAUGCGUAGAUAUAUGGAGGAACACCAGUGGCGAAGGCGGCUAACUGGCCUGUAACUGACGCUAAGGCUCGAAAGCGUGGGGAGCAAAUA
This 409-nucleotide ribosomal RNA is filed under the name uncultured Bacillota bacterium. Its description in RNAcentral is "bacterial SSU rRNA". It matches the Rfam family "Bacterial small subunit ribosomal RNA", at positions 356 to 774 of the family's 1533-position model. Lineage: Bacteria; Bacillati; Bacillota. The record is from RNAcentral.